Molecule: ribosomal RNA, 308 nt
Filed under: uncultured eukaryote
Lineage: Eukaryota
Description: partial 18S ribosomal RNA
Rfam family: Eukaryotic small subunit ribosomal RNA
Source: RNAcentral
CCCUUAGGCGUUCUGGGCCGCACGCGCGCUACACUGACGAAGGCAACGAGCUUUCCUUUACCGAAAGGUACGGGUAAUCUUUUGAAACUUCGUCGUGCUGGGGAUAGAUCCUUGCAAUUUUUGAUCUUAAACGAGGAAUUCCUAGUAAGCGCAAGUCAUCAACUUGCGUUGAUUACGUCCCUGCCCUUUGUACACACCGCCCGUCGCUACUACCGAUUGAAUGGUUUAGUGAGGCCUUCGGAUCCGCGACUCGUUUUGUGGAGAAGUUGGACAAACUCAGUCAUUUAGAGGAAGUAAAAGUCGUAACA